CCUACGGGAGGCUGCAGUCGAGAAUCAUUCACAAUGGGGGAAACCCUGAUGGUGCGACGCCGCGUGGGGGAAUGAAGGUCUUCGGAUUGUAAACCCCUGUCAUGUGGGAGCAAAUUAAAAAGAUAGUACCACAAGAGGAAGAGACGGCUAACUCUGUGCCAGCAGCCGCGGUAAUACAGAGGUCUCAAGCGUUGUUCGGAAUCACUGGGCGUAAAGCGUGCGUAGGCUGUUUCGUAAGUCGUGUGUGAAAGGCGCGGGCUCAACCCGCGGACGGCACAUGAUACUGCGAGACUAGAGUAAGGGAGGGGGAACCGGAAUUCGCGGUGUAGCAGGGAAAUGCGUAGAUAUCGAGAGGAACCCUCGUGGCGAAGGCGGGUUCCUGGACAUUAACUGACGCUGAGGCACGAAGGCCAGGGGAGCGAAAGGGAUUAGAUACCCGAGUAGUC
Molecule: ribosomal RNA, 446 nt
Filed under: uncultured bacterium
Lineage: Bacteria
Description: partial 16S ribosomal RNA
Rfam family: Bacterial small subunit ribosomal RNA
Source: RNAcentral